RNAcentral lists this long non-coding RNA (692 nucleotides) under Rattus norvegicus (Norway rat). RNAcentral describes it as "long non-coding RNA NONRATT027151". The record is from RNAcentral. Lineage: Eukaryota; Metazoa; Chordata; Mammalia; Rodentia; Muridae.
AGCAGUGACCGACGCGUGCGUUCCGUCCCCCCACGCGGCGGCGCCGCUAGUUUGAGGUGAGUCGGGGCCCUCACGCUCUUCCUGUCACUUGCUUGGCUACCAGGGUCCGGGUGGGGCGAAACGAUCGCCUCAUGACUACCCCCUUUUGAUCUCGCUGAGCCCGGCGUUGGGGGAUGGGGCGCUGGGCGGCGCUACCCCUUGUACGUUUGGAGAAACUGAGGCCUAGAGUGGACGGUAGCCACAGCUGUCUCUCCGCGGUGGCGCCUCACGUUGGCACCCAUCUCACCUGUAGGCGGUGAGAAGCCGCCUGCCGUGCCGGGUGGCGCCACCCAGUCCAUCGCUGCCUACCCAGUCGGCCCACGUCCGCGCGGGAAGCCUGGCAUGAGUCACUGCUGACGCUUUGCUGGGUCGAUGGAUGGCUGUGCACCUGAGGACGUCUCCCACGCGGCCGCCCAGGAGGAGAGGGCGUUUGUGUAUUGACCGUUUGUGUCUGAUCCCUCGCAAGCUGUCUGCUGACCUUGGAUAGCUCAAUACCAUUUCUCUUUUGCUUUGACCUCCAGGGGAGCCCGCUGUUGUAGUCAUGGCCUCUGAAGACAUUGCCAAAUUGGCAGAGACCCUGGCCAAAACUCAGGUAGCCGGAGGACAGCUGAGUUUUAAGGGCAAGGGUCUCAAACUAAAUACUGCAGAAGAUG